Molecule: ribosomal RNA, 253 nt
Filed under: uncultured bacterium
Lineage: Bacteria
Description: partial 16S ribosomal RNA
Rfam family: Bacterial small subunit ribosomal RNA
Source: RNAcentral
UACGGAGGGUGCAAGCAUUGAUCGGAAUUACUGGGCGUAAAGGGCGCGUAGGCGGCUUUGAAAGUCGGAUGUGAAAUUCCGGGGCUCAACCCCGGAGCUGCAUUUGAAACUCCAGAGCUAGAGUACAGUUAGGGUAAACGGAAUUCCACGUGUAGCGGUGAAAUGCGUAGAUAUGUGGAAGAACACCAGUGGUGAAGACGGUUUACUGGGCUGUAACUGACGCUGAGGCGCGAAAGCUAGGGGAGCAAACAGG